This 71-nucleotide transfer RNA is filed under the name Loxodonta africana (African savanna elephant). It matches the Rfam family "tRNA". Rfam says of the family: Transfer RNA (tRNA) molecules are approximately 80 nucleotides in length. Their secondary structure includes four short double-helical elements and three loops (D, anti-codon, and T loops). The record is from Rfam by way of RNAcentral. Lineage: Eukaryota; Metazoa; Chordata; Mammalia; Proboscidea; Elephantidae.
ACAGUGGUGGUUCAGCGGUAGAGUUCUUGCCUCCCGUGCGGGAGACCUGGGUUCCAUUCCCGACCAAUGCA